RNA transcript from Pipistrellus kuhlii (Kuhl's pipistrelle), 1532 nucleotides. RefSeq lists it as uncharacterized. The record is from RefSeq and is a predicted model, not a curated record. The transcript is spliced from 5 exons. Lineage: Eukaryota; Metazoa; Chordata; Mammalia; Chiroptera; Vespertilionidae.
AGCGGCCCGGCCGCAGCUGGGGGAGGAGCUGGGAGCCGGGUGGGGAGGAGAGGGGAGGGGAGAAGGGGGAGGAGGGGGGAGGCGGAGAGGGCGGCGGGAGCGGGGAGAAAGGAGGAGGAGGGAGAGACACGAAGGCUUUUGUGGCAUAGUCGCCUCUCGCGCAGCCCCAGCCCGCGGCCGGCAGCCCGCAACCUGGCAGGACCGAGCAGCGCGCACCCACUCCUACCCGCAUGUACUCCCAGCCCCCCUCCCCACGCCCGCCCUAGCCCCCCCUUCUUACCCCAUCCCUGCCAUCCUGUCUCAAUCCAGCCACUGGCCCGCCCGCCCAGAUCAACUCGAAAUGAUUAGGCUAGAGGCCGCCUGCAUUCUGGCCAGGCUGGUCCGCUUGCGGGACGAAGGGCCUGAGCCCCUCUCUUCACCGGGAAUAGGCCCACCCAGGUGACUUCCCUCAGAACCCGUGUCCCAGCGGACAGGUUACUGGGCGAUGGGGGACGCUAGAUGGUGGCACCGGCGGCCCGAAUCUUCCUGGGGGUGGCGUGCGCGGCUCUCACUUGCACCUUGCUGGGUCUACUGUGCCUUACUGUGGGAGGCGCCCCGCGUGGCCUCGAGUCUGGUCGCCUACCCCGCGCCGACCAGCGUGUCCCCGUGGGACCCGGAUCCGGGGCGCCUUCGUUGCGAGUUGCCAGCCAGGAGAGUCUAGAGGGGGAUGACUGUCACUGGAUAGAUGACUUUAUCUGAGAGGACAGGAAGCCUCGCUGUCACUUGGGCAGGAAGGAGCGGUCGGCAGCACAGGUAGAUCAGAAGAGAAGGCCAGGAAUCACCCCGAAGGGCACUUCCAGGUGCUCCACACGGAACCCGGUGUGUGCAGGCCUGAAGGUCGGCGCCCACCCAACAGCCCUGUUGGCUCUGCAGCUCUCGCAAGGGCCUCUUUUAUUGGAUCCGCGUAUCCCUGGGACUCAGAGUCGAGUCGCUCGGGCACAGAGGGAGUCUGCUGUGCAUGAUCGAUAGGCUCCAGUCGCCACCAGAACCUUCAAGGCACAGGCAGAGUUGGAUCGCCAUCGGAUCAGAGGGAACCAGUUGCAGAUUGUCCUCCUUGGCCCGCAGGCUUGUGGCUCCUGUUAGUGGUCGCUGCACUUAGGACAAGGCGGCAUGGACGUGCGCGUUUCAAGAAGCCGACUUCCCCACGGAGUUCAAGCGCUGAGAAACGCCAGAAACGCGGCCAGGGCUUCAGGGCCAACCGGCAAAGUGGCAGUCGCGGGCCCAGGCUCUCUGCAGACGCGGACCUUCCCGGCUUGCCGGGCCGCGGGGAGGCCGGCGGCGCGGGCCCGAAGUCGUGCGCGCGGGCGGCGAGGGGGCGCUGUGGCCCGCGGCUGAGGCCUCCUCCCUGCUGCGGUGGCCCCAACAACGGUCCAGGCUACCGAAGGGCGGUGGGCGUCCCUGCCCUGGCGAGCGACCUACCCCUUUCCACUUAGGUUUAUUUCGGGGAGGAACAAUUAUAUCAGGCAUUGCAAUAAAACUUACUCCACAUACGA